GAUGAACGCUGGCGGCGUGCUUAACACAUGCAAGUCGAACGGAAAGGCCCAAGUUUGCUUGGGUGCUCGAGUGGCGAACGGGUGAGUAACACGUGGGUGAUCUGCCCUGCACUUUGGGAUAAGCCUGGGAAACUGGGUCUAAUACCGGAUAGGACCAUCGUUUAGUGUCGGUGGUGGAAAGUUUUUCGGUGUGGGAUGAGCUCGCGGCCUAUCAGCUUGUUGGUGGGGUAAUGGCCUACCAAGGCGUCGACGGGUAGCCGGCCUGAGAGGGUGUACGGCCACAUUGGGACUGAGAUACGGCCCAGACUCCUACGGGAGGCAGCAGUGGGGAAUAUUGCACAAUGGGCGCAAGCCUGAUGCAGCGACGCCGCGUGGGGGAUGACGGCCUUCGGGUUGUAAACUCCUUUCGCCAAGGACGAAGCGUUUUGUGACGGUACUUGGAGAAGAAGCACCGGCUAACUACGUG
This 466-nucleotide ribosomal RNA is filed under the name uncultured bacterium. Its description in RNAcentral is "partial 16S ribosomal RNA". It matches the Rfam family "Bacterial small subunit ribosomal RNA", at positions 28 to 507 of the family's 1533-position model. The record is from RNAcentral.